UCGAGGAUCUUCGGCAAUGGGGGCAACCCUGACCGAGCGAUGCCGCGUGUGCGACGAAGGCCUUCGGGUUGUAAAGCACUGUCGGGGGGGAGAAAGGCCCGCGAGGGCGUGAUCUAUCCCCGGAGGAAGCUCGGGCUAAGUUCGUGCCAGCAGCCGCGGUAAGACGAACCGAGCGAACGUUGUUCGGAAUCACUGGGCUUAAAGGGCGCGUAGGCGGGCGGCCGCGUCCGGGGUGAAAUCCUCCCGCUUCACGGGAGAACGGCCUCGGAUACGGGCGGCCUCGAGGGGGGUAGGGGCGUGCGGAACUGUGGGUGGAGCGGUGAAAUGCGUUGAGAUCCACAGGAACUCCGGUGGCGAAGGCGGCACGCUGGACCCCUCCUGACGCUGAGGCGCGAAAGCCAGGGGAGCGAACGG
This 414-nucleotide ribosomal RNA is filed under the name uncultured bacterium. RNAcentral describes it as "bacterial SSU rRNA". It matches the Rfam family "Bacterial small subunit ribosomal RNA", at positions 355 to 775 of the family's 1533-position model. The record is from RNAcentral.